This 758-nucleotide long non-coding RNA is filed under the name Rattus norvegicus (Norway rat). RNAcentral's name for it is "long non-coding RNA NONRATT000977". Lineage: Eukaryota; Metazoa; Chordata; Mammalia; Rodentia; Muridae. The record is from RNAcentral.
ACCUCCUGCCUCAGCCUUCCAAGUUGCAAGGAUUACAGGCAGAUGCCACCACAGCAGGCUCUAGUUACAGUGUCUAAUGUGCAUUUUAAUCAAAGAUAGCAAAUAAGUCUAUUGCUCAGUGUGUUGCCAAAAAGUAAAUAAUGAAUGUAAGCUGCUUCCAGGACAGCAGAAGACAUUACUGAUAUUCCAAAAGACCGUCUUUAAUAGCACACCAUCUUCCUCGCCUCAUUCUGAAGUUCUCAUUGGGGCCCCUUUCCCUUCCUUUCACUCCCGGUUGAAACUCUACAAUAUGAAAGCACAUUCCCGGAGGGAGUAGACAAAAGUGGGCAAACAGUUGUAAGAAAUGAAUGUCUUUGACCACGUUUGUAUUUUAUGGAUUUGGCCUUGUGGUUAGCAUGAACUAAACUCUUACAUAUGCGUGGAAUUACAGCUCAGAGUCAUGACUUGCUCAAGAUUAGACAGAGUAAAAGUUCUAGACUGGUCAAAGCCUUCAUUCUUUACUACCACACACCACCUUUCAAAUGUGAGGUUAGGAGGGCUACAGAGGGAGGAUGUGAUUUUGCCUCUUUUGUUAACGUAUUCCCUGGUUGUGUGUAAAGCUGCAUAAACAAAUGCUACAUCACUGAACACCUGUGUUUGUUUUCCUCCCUCCCCUGUCUGUUUUCAGUGCUUCAGGCACAGUGUACACUGCAAUGGAUGUAGCCACAGGGCAGGAGGUGGCCAUUAAACAGAUGAACCUUCAGCAGCAGCCGAAGAAA